RNAcentral lists this small RNA (584 nucleotides) under Pongo abelii (Sumatran orangutan). RNAcentral describes it as "retained intron". The record is from RNAcentral. Lineage: Eukaryota; Metazoa; Chordata; Mammalia; Primates; Hominidae.
GGAGACCCCCAAGUCCUGCGGGCGCGGAAUAUCCUGGAACCUUCUUUUAUUUGUCAGCAACCAAGGUGUUUGCAGGAAGUUGGGAGAGAACAGGUCUGUGUUGAUCCGGGUCCAUUGCGGGGUAGGGCCUCUGAACGUCUGUGUGUUAUAAACUCCAUCUGAAGUCAAGGUCUUUCUUGCCCUUUAACUGUGGGUUGGGUAGGAUAGAAGAGGAUGCUGACAUUUUCUAGUUGUCCUGCCCUGACUCCUGGCUUUGAUUUUCUAAGCUCCUUAAAUUGGGCUUUGGGGGCCAGGCAAGAAUGAUCUCCUCCCCACUGUUUCUGAUUGGUGGCUGAUGGUACUCUUAGAUUCUUUCUUGGCCACCCCAUUUGUGUGGAGGAAGCCUAGGGAGAGGCCUGUAACUUCCUGCUUCCUGUCUCCUCCCAGCAGGCUUGGAAGCCAGGGUGGAGGGGCCUCCCACAACAGGCCAGAAGAGAAGAUGCAGCAGUCCUGGCCAAUCCUCAGUGUCUCCAUUUUGCUUUGCCCACUGCCCCCCACCAGGACCCCUACGGGGCCCUCUUCCCUGCUCCUCCAGGCUCCUGGGG